UACGCCGUAAACGAUGCGCACUAGGUUCGAAGGUCUCUGACGAUCCUCGAGCCGAAACAAAAGCGUUAAGUGCGCCGCCUGGGGAGUACGGCCGCAAGGCUAAAACUCAAAGGAAUUGACGGGGGCUCACACAAGCGGUGGAGCAUGUGGAUUAAUUCGAAGCAACGCGAAGAACCUUACCUGGGUUUGACAUGCACGGAUGCUCUCGGUGAAAGCUGAGUAGGCUGCCUUCGGGUGAAACGUGUACAGGUGC
Molecule: ribosomal RNA, 253 nt
Filed under: uncultured bacterium
Lineage: Bacteria
Description: partial 16S ribosomal RNA
Rfam family: Bacterial small subunit ribosomal RNA
Source: RNAcentral